UACGAAGGGUGCAAGCGUUACUCGGAAUUACUGGGCGUAAAGGGUGCGUAGGUGGUUCGUUAAGUCUGAUGUGAAAGCCCUGGGCUCAACCUGGGAAUUGCAUUGGAUACUGGCGGGCUGGAGUGCGGUAGAGGGUAGUGGAAUUCCCGGUGUAGCAGUGAAAUGCGUAGAUAUCGGGAGGAACAUCCGUGGCGAAGGCGACUGCCUGGACCAGCACUGACACUGAGGCACGAAAGCGUGGGGAGCAAACAGG
This 253-nucleotide ribosomal RNA is filed under the name uncultured Luteimonas sp. Its description in RNAcentral is "partial 16S ribosomal RNA". It matches the Rfam family "Bacterial small subunit ribosomal RNA", at positions 524 to 776 of the family's 1533-position model. The record is from RNAcentral. Lineage: Bacteria; Pseudomonadati; Pseudomonadota; Gammaproteobacteria; Lysobacterales; Lysobacteraceae.